Camelus dromedarius (Arabian camel) is the source of this 2319-nucleotide long non-coding RNA. RefSeq lists it as uncharacterized. The record is from RefSeq and is a predicted model, not a curated record. The transcript is spliced from 3 exons. NCBI's taxonomy places the organism in Eukaryota, Metazoa, Chordata, Mammalia, Artiodactyla, Camelidae.
GAAAGCUCUGUACUGUCGAAGCCGCAGUCUGGCCCCUUUGGCAAACCAGACUCUACUCCGCAGACCCUGAGUCCGGCUGGAGACCACCCCACCGGGCCCUUCAGCUGCGUGUCGGCAGCGUGCUUCUCCCGUGCGCUUUGAGCAAACAAGAGAGGUGGGUGUUGUACAUCUCCUUCACCCGCCGGUAGCGGAAGGCCAGCUUCCUCAUCCAGUCCACGCCACCAUGGACGCCGGAGCCCAGGCACAGGUUGGCUCCCGGGGCCGAACUGUGGAAGCCAUCAGCGGAGAAAUUAUACAACUCCCCACCCUGAAUACAGCUGCUGGACUAACAAGUUGGACAUGUGGAUGGGGGAUGAGUCAGAGUGCCACACGGAGUUAACAGCAGAAGCGACAGCUGGGAACCAGAAGGGGAAAAUGCGUGGGCGAUUCACCACCUACAGCGGCUCGACUGUGAGAAGGAAAACCCCAGCUCUCCACAGACCCCUCUUCCCCUCCACCAGAAGCUUGGUACAGGCUUGCAAAACCACAGGAGUAAAGCUUAUGCUACAGUGUCACCAGGCAAAACCAGAGCCUGACAAGGGAUGUGUGUACCAAAAACUUUAAAAAUCACAGUCUCUUCAGAGAGAAAAAGAUGGGGGAAGCAGGUCAGUGUGGUCCCAUGGCCUCUCAGGGGAUGGGUUUGACUGAUCCAUUUGGAAGUCAAGGUUGGUGCCUCCUCAUCAGGUUCCUGCUGCCAGGAAUUUGAGCACACCUUCCUCCUUCAUUCACAGGACAUCAGAGACUCUGGACAUUGCGGAAGUUUCCCUUUAAGUAAUGAUGGGAAUGUAGAACAACACCUUAUGGACCACUCCCUGGGCAGUGCAGAAAGGUUAGAUAAUUUAUUCUUACAAAAGAACACUGACUACAAACUCAGAGGAUCCCCUGGGGAGAUGCCUGGAUGUUCUGCCAAGAGAUGGAGGCCAGGGAAGGGUGUCCGUGAAUCCUGCCUCCCCCACUUACCAGCUGUGUGAGGUUGGGCAGGUUUCUUAACCUCUCUGUGCCUCAUUCCCCAAGUGUAAAAUGAGGAUGAUUAUAAGAGCAACUAUUUCCUAGGGUUACUGUGAAGAUGCAAUGAGUUAAUUCAAGUAAAGCAUUUGCAACAGGGCAUGGUGCAAAAUAAGGGCAUUGCCAGGGUUGGUUUUUUAGUGUUAACUGAAAAAAAAAAGGGGGGGGGGCAUUUGAUACUUGGUGCCUCACACACAGUAGGUCCUCAAUAGACAGUUCUUUUUUUAAUUGAGGUAUAGUCGAUCUAUAAUGUGUUAAUUUCUGGUGUAGAGCAUAGUGAUUCAGCACAGUGAUACAUACAUAUUCCUUUUUAUAUUCUUUUUCAUUAGAGGUUAUACAAGGUAUUGAAUCUAGUUCUCUGUGCUCUACAGCAGGACCUUGUUGUUUAUCUAUUUUAUGUAUAGUAGUUAGUAUCUGCCAUGAUACAUAUUUCUUGAAUGAAAAAACAGGGAAUUUGGCUUCUAGGGGAGGAAAAACACCCCUGGAUUGCAGAUUCUUGAAGUGAGGUACCAAACCAGCUCAGUACGAGUCAGGGUUCAGGGAACAUUGCUCUAAAUUCCGAGCCAGCCAGCUACAGGGGAAACUAUAAAAACGGAGCCCCGGUUGCUCAUUGCCUUGAAAGGGAGAGUGGUUUCCAGGGAUGACUUCAUGGAAAGGACACAAUUAACCCUGAUCUGGGCUUUAUUUACUCCAUAAAUUGAGAAGUCCUGGCUAGCACUGGAGCCGUGCACCUUGCCAGACCUGACUGCAGAAGGGAUUUUCUCAAUGGCUAAUUAAAACUUAGCAGGUGAUCGAUGCCCACCUAUCACUUCUAAUCGUGCUGGGCUUUGAAAAGGCUUGCAGGGCUCAGUAACAUAAACUCUGAUUUCUUUUUUUUGGAGAAAGUUGGAAGAUACACCCAGGAAGCAAACACUAAGUGAAGUUACCAUGACUGGCCCACAAGCAAAACUUACUUGGUCUCAUAAUAUUUUUGAUGGGCUUAGAGGCGUUGAAUUGUGAUAAUUUUGGAUAAGCACAGAUUAACUAGGGUCCCAUUUUUAUAAAGUCUCCCUAAGGGCAGGCUUGGAACAUUCCAGCCACAUUCUUGUGAGAGAUGUCUCAUUUUGAGCAAUUGGGCACCUUAUUUCCGGAAUUCAUAUUGUAGUAUUGUUUUCUCCUAGAAACCAGACAGAGCACUUACUCAUUCCAAAAAGAUAAUUUUUUGAAUAUCGACUGUAUCAACUUUUAUAUUAAAUAAUAUAUGUAUGUUAAUAAAUGCAGUCAAACCUUGGAGGA